AUGGGCAGACACUCCUCUGCCAGCCAAGGUGUGGAGGAACACUGGGCUCCACCCAGACCAGGACCUCAACAGGGUCAGGGAAAAAGCCAGUCAGGACACUUUCCUGCCAUCCCACCUGGAGUUUUGUGUUCUCUGUGGGGCAGCAGCUUGAUUUCCUGGUCCCAGGGAUUCUGCUUCAGGCUCUGGAGAACUGGGCUUGUGUGUACCUGUGAUCCAGCUCGAACCAAGCAGACAAGAGCAAGGCCCUACAACAGCCAUUUGCAAACUUGGAUGUCACUGGACUUGAUACACAGCCAAGUUUAGGAACUGCUGCUUUAGAAAAUACUGGCAAAACAAGACAGAAGGAACCUGGGUCCCUGGAUGACCGCACGGAGCAGAACCUCCCUCCCAUGGGAACAUUCACCUUGAAGAGUUACAUGAGAGAGACAUCAACCUCUAUCUUAUUUACCCUUACAAAGGCCAUGAAAGAGACAUUUAGGGAGUUAAAAGGAAACCCUGAUUGCACUUGGAUGCCUGUAAUAUCAGCAAAUGCUCAUGAAAUUCAAGGUACCAGCAAUCACUUGCUUGUACACACACACACACACACACACACACACACACACACACACACCUCACAUACUUUUCUGCAUGGCUCUCUCUUUCCCAGUCACUAUUAGGGUGGUAAUCAGCUAGAACCACAACUUUCCCAGCUUCCCAUCUGAUUAAUGGGGAACUUUCUCCACCUGCCUUCCACCACUCCAAGGCAGGCCAAGCUCCAGCUUCCUCCUUUAUAUUCUCCUCCUGAUACUAUAAAACAAUUAAAUAAAAUUUCCUAUAGACUCUGCCUUUCCUAUCUU
This 836-nucleotide long non-coding RNA is filed under the name Felis catus (domestic cat). RNAcentral describes it as "lncRNA (ENSFCAG00000047693.1)". Lineage: Eukaryota; Metazoa; Chordata; Mammalia; Carnivora; Felidae. The record is from RNAcentral.